This 1350-nucleotide ribosomal RNA is filed under the name Triticum aestivum (bread wheat). RNAcentral describes it as "partial small subunit ribosomal RNA". The record is from RNAcentral. Lineage: Eukaryota; Viridiplantae; Streptophyta; Magnoliopsida; Poales; Poaceae.
AUGCCGACGAACAUGAUCUCCAACAGGGUGCUUGAGAAGGAUGUCCUUCCACUGGAUGUUGAGCCUCCUGCAAAGAGGGGACCAGCCUCGCGGACGAGCGUGCGUCGCAAUCCAAACAUGGAGAAGCUUCAGAACGGCUACUUAUUCCCGGAGAUUAGCAUGAGACGUGAAGCACACGAGAAGAAGUACCCGGACGCCAAGGUCAUCAGCUUGGGCAUCGGGGACACGACCCAGCCCAUACCAAGCAUCGUCACUUCGGCCAUGGCCGAGUACGCGCUUGCGUUAUCAACUCCCGAAGGGUACCAAGGCUAUGGGCCAGAGCAAGGCCAGAAGAGUCUGAGGAAGGCCAUCGCUGACGUAGUGUACCCAAACAUGGGGAUACGAGACACCGAGGUGUUCAUCUCCGACGGAGCGCAGUGCGACAUUGCGCGCCUUCAGAUGAUGUUCGGGCGGGACGUGACCAUCGCCGUGCAGGACCCCACGUUCCCGGGGUACGUGGACAACGGCGUGAUCAUGGGGCAGACGGGGCCGGCGGCGGUCGACGAGGAGUCCGGCGGCAGCCGGUACGCCGGGAUCGAGUACAUGCGGUGCGCGCCGGAGAACGCCUUCUUCCCGGACCUCUCGCGCGUCCGCCGCACCGACGUCAUCUUCUUCUGCUCGCCCAACAACCCCACGGGCCACGCCGCCUCCCGCGACCAGCUGCGGCAGCUCGUCGACUUCGCGCGCCGCAACGGCUCCAUCGUCGUCUUCGACUCCGCCUACGCCUCCUACGUCUCCCCCGGCGCCGGCGGCGACGACGGCGACAAGCCGCGGUCCAUCUACGAGGUGCCGGGGGCGCGGGAGGUGGCCAUCGAGAUCUCCUCCUUCUCCAAGUUCGCCGGGUUCACGGGGGUGCGGCUGGGGUGGGCCGUGGUGCCCGACGAGCUGCUCUACGCCGACGGCACCCGCGUGGCCCGGGACUUCGACCGCGUGGUGACCACCUGCUUCAACGGCGCGUCCAGCGUGGCGCAGGCGGGCGGGCUGGCGUGCCUGGCCACGGAGGAGGGCCGCGCCGCCGUGGCGCGCGUGGUGGCCGGGUACAAGGAGAACGCGCGGGUGCUGGUGGGCACCUUCCAGGCGCUGGGCAAGGAGGUGUACGGCGGCGACGACUCGCCCUACGUCUGGGUGCGCCUCUUCCCCGGCCGCCGCUCCUGGGACGUGUUCGCCGAGAUCCUCGAGAAGACGCACGUCAUCACCGUGCCGGGGAGCGGCUUCGGCCCCGGCGGCGAGGGCUUCGUCAGGGUCAGCGCCUUCAACAGCCGGGACCGGGUCGUCGAGGCCUGCGCCAGGCUCACCAGCUUCCUCGCCUGA